Molecule: ribosomal RNA, 1426 nt
Filed under: uncultured bacterium
Lineage: Bacteria
Description: bacterial SSU rRNA
Rfam family: Bacterial small subunit ribosomal RNA
Source: RNAcentral
AGAGUUUGAUCCUGGCUCAGGAUGAACGCUGGCGGCGUGCUUUAAGUAUGCAAGAGGAACGAUCCCGAUUUAUCGGGAAAGUCGCGAACGGCUGAGUAAAAGAUAGGAAUCUACCCUUUGGCGGGGAAUACCUUGGAGAAAUUCAGGUUAAUACCGCAUAAGACCUACGGGUGAAAGCGCGUAACUGCGCACCAAAGGAGGAGCCUGUCAUCUAUCAUGCUUGUUGGUGAGGUAAAGGCUCACCAAGGCUACGACGGAUAGGGGGCGUGAGAGCGUGACCCCCCAGAAUGGCACUGAGACACGGGCCAUACACCUACGGGUGGCGCAGCUGGGAAUCCUCCGCAAUGGACGAAAGUCUGACGGGGCGACGCCGCGUGAGGGAUGAAGGCUUUUGGGUUGUAAACCUCUUUUGGUUGGUCCGAGAGGACCAGCAGAAUAAGCACCGGCUAACUACGUGCCAGCAGCAGCGGUAAUACGUAGGGUGCAAGCGUUAUCCGGAGUCAUUGGGCGUAAAGAGUUUGUAGGCGUCUUGUCACAUCUUGUUUUAAAGACCAGAGCUUAACUUUGGGAAGGGACAAGAGAUGGACAGGAUUGAGAAUUUCCGGGGCUAUUGGAACUAUCCAUGUAGGGGUGAAAUCCGUUGAUAUGGAUAGGAACUCCGAGGGCGAAGGCGGAUAGCUAGGAAAAUUCUGACGCUGAGAAACGAAAGCUAGGGUAGCGAAAGGGAUUAGAGACCCCUGUAGUCCUAGCCGUAAACGAUGCUCGCUAGCUGGUGGGAUUUAUCUCAUCGGCGUAAGCUAACGCGUGAAGCGAGCCGCCUGGGGAGUACGGUCGCAAGACUAAAACUCAAAGGAAUUGACGGGGACCUGCACAACCAGUGGAGCAUGUGGUUUAAUUCGAGACAAACCGAAGAACCUUACCUGGGUUUGACAUCCUAUUGUUAAUGCCCUCGCAGAGAUGCUUGGGAAUCAUAUUUAUGUGAAUGGUAGGACAGGUGUUGCAUGGCUGUCGUCAGCUCGUGCCGUGGGGUGUUCCCUUCAGUGGGGUAACGAGCGCAACCCCUGCCGUAUGUUGUAUUUCAUACGGGACUACUCGCCUUAGGCGAGAGGAAGUGGGGACGACGUCAAGUCAGCAUGACCCUUAUAUCCAGGGCGACACACAUGCUACAAUGGAGCCGACAAUGGGUUGCCAAGCAGUAAUGCGGAGCUAAUCCCAUCAAACGGCUUCUCAGUGGGGAUUGAGGGCUGCAACUCGCCCUCAUGAACGAGGAAUUGGUAGUAAUCGCGGAUCAGCCAAGCCGCGGUGAAUACGUUCUCAGGUCUUGUACACACCGCCCGUCAAGUGAGCGAAGUUGGGGGUACCCGAAGGCCAAUUGAUUGGUCGAAGGUAAAUCCAGCGACGAGCACUAAGUCGUAACAAGGUAACC